GACGAACGCUGGCGGCGUGCUUAACACAUGCAAGUCGAACGGAAAGGCCCUGCUUUUGUGGGGUGCUCGAGUGGCGAACGGGUGAGUAACACGUGAGUAACCUGCCCUUGACUUUGGGAUAACUUCAGGAAACUGGGGCUAAUACCGGAUAGGAGCUCCUGCUGCAGGGGGGGGGUUGGAAAGUUUCGGCGGUUGGGGAUGGACUCGCGGCUUAUCAGCUGGUUGGUGGGGUAGUGGCUUACCAAGGCUUUGACGGGUAGCCGGCCUGAGAGGGUGACCGGCCACAUUGGGACUGAGAUACGGCCCAGACUCCUACGGGAGGCAGCAGUGGGGAAUAUUGCACAAUGGGCGGAAGCCUGAUGCAGCAACGCCGCGUGCGGGAUGCCGGCCUUCGGGUUGUAAACCGCUUUCGCCUGUGACGAAGCGUGAGUGACGGUAAUGGGUAAAGAAGCAUCGGCUAACUACGUG
Molecule: ribosomal RNA, 468 nt
Filed under: uncultured bacterium
Lineage: Bacteria
Description: partial 16S ribosomal RNA
Rfam family: Bacterial small subunit ribosomal RNA
Source: RNAcentral